AGGAGGAUCUGAAGUAAAUAUUCGUAACAAGGUCUCCGUAGGUGAACCUGCGGAGGGAUCAUUACCGAGUUCGUGCCCCGCAGCGGGGUAGAUCUCCCACCCUUGUGUAUCUUCGUACCGUUCUGUUGCUUUGGCAGGCCGCUCAGGCUUCGGCUCGACCACCGGCUCCCCCAGGGGGGCGGGUGUGCGCCUGCCAGAGGACCCCCCCAACUCUUGUUUGUCAGUGUCGUCUGAGUACUAUAACCAAUCGUUAAAACUUUCAACAACGGAUCUCUUGGUUCUGGCAUCGAUGAAGAACGCAGCGAAAUGCGAUAAGUAAUGUGAAUUGCAGAAUUCAGUGAAUCAUCGAAUCUUUGAACGCACAUUGCGCCCCUUGGUAUUCCGAGGGGCAUGCCUGUUCGAGCGUCAUUUCAACCCCUCAAGCUCUGCUUGGUGUUGGGCCGCGCUGCUGCUCCGGCGGCGGGCCCUAAAAUCAGUUGGCGGUGCCGUCGCGGCUCCAAGCGUAGUAGCAUACCUCUCGCUCUGGAAACCCGGCGGUUGCCUGCCCCCUAAACCAGAUUAAAUUCUCACGGUUGACCUCGGAUCAGGUAGGGAUACCCGCUGAACUUAAGCAUAUCAUAAGCCCGGAGGAA
Molecule: ribosomal RNA, 632 nt
Filed under: Ascomycota sp. WP-2010
Lineage: Eukaryota; Fungi; Ascomycota
Description: eukaryotic LSU rRNA
Rfam family: 5.8S ribosomal RNA (bases 255-408)
Source: RNAcentral